This 253-nucleotide ribosomal RNA is filed under the name uncultured bacterium. RNAcentral describes it as "partial 16S ribosomal RNA". It matches the Rfam family "Bacterial small subunit ribosomal RNA", at positions 524 to 776 of the family's 1533-position model. The record is from RNAcentral.
GACAGAGGGUGCAAGCGUUGUUCGGAAUUACUGGGCGUAAAGGGCGCGUAGGCGGCCAUUUAAGUCAGAUGUGAAAUCCCCAGGCUCAACCUGGGAACUGCGUCUGAUACUGGACGGCUUGAGUUUGGGAGAGGGAUGUAGAAUUCCAGGUGUAGCGGUGAAAUGCGUAGAUAUCAGGAGGAACACCGAUGGCGAAGUCAGGUCUCUGGGCAUUAACUGACGCUGAGGAGCGAAAGCGUGGGGAGCAAACAGG